UACGUAGGUGGCAAGCGUUGUCCGGAUUUAUUGGGCGUAAAGGGUGCGUAGGCGGCGCGGUAAGUCGGGUGUGAAAUCUUGGAGCUUAACUCCGAAACUGCAUUCGAUACUGCCGUGCUUGAGGACUGGAGAGGAGACUGGAAUUUACGGUGUAGCGGUGAAAUGCGUAGAUAUCGUAAGGAAGACCAGUGGCGAAGGCGGGUCUCUGGACAGUUCCUGACGCUGAGGCACGAAGGUCAGGGGAGCAAACGGG
This 253-nucleotide ribosomal RNA is filed under the name uncultured bacterium. RNAcentral describes it as "partial 16S ribosomal RNA". It matches the Rfam family "Bacterial small subunit ribosomal RNA", at positions 524 to 776 of the family's 1533-position model. The record is from RNAcentral.